Erpetoichthys calabaricus (reedfish) is the source of this 3947-nucleotide long non-coding RNA. RefSeq lists it as uncharacterized. Lineage: Eukaryota; Metazoa; Chordata; Cladistia; Polypteriformes; Polypteridae. The transcript is spliced from 8 exons. The record is from RefSeq and is a predicted model, not a curated record.
UUACCAGUAAAAAAAAAAAAUCAAUAGUCCAGUCCAUCUGACAUUUUUUCUGGAACACAGAAUAAGGUCUCAAUACGAUCAAACAUCUGCGGGAUGUGCUGAAAAAACAAGUCCAAUCUAUGGAGGGCCCACCCUGGAACUCUUAAAAGGACCUGCUGCUAACGUCUUGGUGCCAGAGACCACAGGACACCUUCAGAACUCUUGAGGACUCGAUGCCUCAACAGGCACUGGCUUCAACCCUUCAUCUUCUCGAAUUUCCCCAAAGUCAGGCCAACAUGAUUACUACCGAACUGCGCGCCAAAGAAGCCCGCUUUAAUUGCCUCGUGACGUCACUUCUGGGCGCCGAGUGACUGACGGAGCGCCGCACUCACUUCGAAGACGACGUGACUUCAUGCAGUUCGUAGAGUUGAAAAGCUGAGGCACUUAAAACAAGCUCGUGGUCCAAACUCAGAAGGUAUCCAUUUUAAUUAAUGGAAAAAAUAAAAAGAUUACAAUACAGGAUGAGGAAAUCUUUUCAGCUACAUGACAACAAACAUACCUUCAUGCAUCUUUGCAGGCGAGUGAUGCCCUUAUUUUAAUAAACAGCUCAGCCAGAUUAAAGAAAGCAUUGUCAUCAUCUGCUGCAGAACUUAUCUAACACACAGGUCUGCUGAUGAAGAGUGUCUGGGGAGGCCACUUCUGCAUGGCAUCAAAUCUUAAUCCUGACUCUAUUCAUGUGCAGUUCCUUGCUGGUACAAUGAGCUGCCCACCUCCAUUUGGAAUUCUGGCUCCCUCAAUAUGUUUAAGAAGCAUCUGCAGAGUCUCUUCUUUGGUGAAUUUCUUUCGAUGAUAUUAGCAGGGGGUGCUCCUACAGUAUUAUAAGGGAGAGGAAUUGCCUGGAACAUUCCCCAGGUCAACCAGAAGGAGUGGACAGCCUCUUCCAGUCAGGUAGCCAAGGAGCAGAAUAAAAGACGCUUCUCCCAGUGAGGAAGAGAGAAGCGGACUUGCGACAAAUGCAGGUGUUUUCUUGAAUUGAACUUUGAGGUGGUGCUGUUAUUGAAAUCUGGGUGGAAGAGUGACCCCAUGUGGUUGCAUUGGGUAUUUUUAUAUACGUAUACAGUCAAGUUUGUUAUGGAAGAAGAUGAUCCGCUGUGGCGACCCCUAACGGGAGCAUCCGGAAGAAGAAGCAGCCAAGUUUGUGGUGCCAGAAAUGAAUAUUCCACUCAAAACUAUUUUUUUUUUUUACAUUAUUUAUCCCAUGUGGUGUGUAGUGAUGGCCACAAAACAAUUUUUAAUCUCAUAUUUUCUUGGAGGAAGGACAUCAUGUUUCUGAUAGAAUGGGACUCAAUGGUGACCAACACUGGACAAAAUGAUGCAAAAAAAGUACAUGGGAAAAAAAAAAGCUUUGUUACUCAUGUUGCAUAAUCUACAGAUCUAUUAUCCAGCUGUAUGCUCAAAGCAGAUCCCUCUUUUGCAUAAAUAUUAUUAAAUAGUCCUUGAAUAAACAGCAAAAAUCAAAAAUAGGAAACUAAGAGCAUUUUGGAAAAUUAUUUCUCAUAAUGCUUUUAGUUUCCAGUUUUUGAUUUGAGCUGUAAUUAAGGAAACAACUAACAAUAUUUUAGUAAAAACGCUUGCGUUUUGUAUGUUUUGAGCACAUGACUAGAUGAUGGACAUGUGGGUUAUGAAACACGAGUGAUGUGAGAUUUUUCUUUUCUUUUUCCAUGGACAUUUUUCAUAUUGUUUGCGGUUGUACAGAAUUGGUCAACAUUGGGUUCUAUUAUAUCAAACUUUGUUCUCUUGUUCUACAUGAAAUGAUUAAAAAUUCUUCUUGGCCAUUACUACAAAUUAUGUAAUUUAAAAAACACCACUUUUGAGUGGAGUAAUACUUUAAAAUGCUCAAAGACAAAAUGGCUUAUUUAUGUAGCGCCCCAUGACCCUGAACUCUAAUGAGUGGAUUGAGGAGAUCGCUGGAUAUAUUUGUGAAUGUUAUGAACCUCUGAGUUAGCCAAACUGAACUGUCUUAGUGAAUGAACGUCUGUCACCAUUAUCAUAAUAUUCCAAAACCACUUCGUAAUGCAUGCUCAAUAAAACAUAUUAAUUUAUUCUUUAGAUUUUAUUUAAAGUCGUAACCAGAUGGCCUGAUGUCUCAUCCAGGGAUGUCCUAUGUCUUGCACCAUUUGCAACUUUCCAUAAUUCUCAGCAAGAUAAUUGGUUCAAAAAUAAAUCAGAUGACACAGACCAAGAUUUACUUAAAUACAAACAGAUUUAUUAAUAAAUGUGUUUACUCACAGUGUGCUUAUACAACAGAAAACAAAAAAUCUGUAGGAGCAUUAGAUGUCCUUUAAGAAAAAUAACUUGUGUUUGACAGAAAAAUAAAAAAUAGACAACAAAAGAAAAAUCAAAGGUAAAUGUAUAUUCUGCACAUUUCUGUCAUAACACAGCUUUCUACAGCUUAAAUGUGCAAGCACUUCAAUUAUUUAUACAUUUCAAACUGUCAGGCUGAUUUGUGCAAACAUUUGUCAACUCUGCUUUAGCAUCAGCACGGUUAGUACAAACUGGUGACCAUAUAGUAGCUAUAGAUUUUAUGGGCAAACCUUGAAAUUUUUGGUAAUUAAUUAAUUUUGGUAAUUUUUGAUAAUUCUGCAUUUUUUACCUAUUUAUUUACAGUGCAUAUUAAUUGUGAAUUUUUAAUAACAGUCUGUACUAAUUUAACUGAAUGAAAAAAAAUAUACAAGGAGCUUAAUAGUAUUUACUACCCAGACAGAAAGUUAAAUCCAGAAAAUGAUGCUGCCAAGAAAUGAAAGAAUAGUGAACCUCCAAAAAACAGAGGCGUUUAAAAUCAGCCUGACACAGCUCGCUAUGUGCAGUCAUGUGAUGGUUUAACAGCAAUAGCAAUAAAUAAAAAAUAAAGAGUGCACAAGUCUUAAGAAUCACAUCAGCCCUUCUCAGUGGCUUAGGGGCCAUUUACAAGAACGACAUCAUUCAAUCUGGUAGUCUCAGCCAACAAGUACUGUGGACGCUAUGAGCUUUUGUUACAGUAUUAAAUACUACUAUACUUCUAUCAUAAGAAUGAAGGUACAGUAUUUUACACACAAAUCUGUAUUACAAAAAUAUAGCAUUUCAGGUCAUGUAUUUAAAAUUAAAGCAGAAGUAAAACUGGUUGUUAUUAUUGAAAUCAACACCUAUAAAUGUCAGGACUUUAUAAUUUGUGUUAUACAAUAUGUCUUUUAACAAUCACCAAUUUGUUCAUUGUCAGAACUGAAGUUAACCAGUUGUAUUCUGAUAGACCAUGUGCACUCUUUGAACCGAGGCCAGUGUUCACUCCAAAAGGGACAACACUGACAUGACUUAACCUCAUCCCCCAGCAGAUGGACCUCUACGGCCAGGUCUCCAGGAACAGGUCCCUCCGCUAUCUCCAGUCAACGGGUUAUACCCUAAAAAGAGAAAUACAUAAAACUAACCUUAAACUCCAGUGGAAUGAACAGUGUCUCAUUGUGUUAGUGUUAAUGUUUGUUUAAUUCAUAUACGUAUUUACUUAGUAAGUGGAGGCCUGCCUGCCACCUUGCUAGAAUUCUGUUUUAUCAUAAAAUACGUUCAGAUUGCUUUUGUUUUUGAAAUGCAAGACAAAAGGGCAUACAGAUUUCUGAUACUAUGUAGUCAUGAUGUAACAUAGUAAUAAAGAAAUGUAACAAAGAUAUAGAAGAGUGAAGUAUAGAUGAAAAAACAGUUUUUGUAUGUUUUAUGUUUUUCCCCCAUUUUGCGUGAACGCUUCCUUUAAAUCUUUUGAUGAAAUUCAAAGUUGAUAGUUGGAGUGUGGAACUUCUUGUGCUAUGCCUCUUGGGUUUGGCGCCAUGUGACCCUCAGCUGGAUCAGUGGGAUAGAAAAUUGUGGGGUAUACAGUGAUAUACAGUGAUAAUAAAUUAAAAAAAUUAAACUUUUUAAAUAAAUAAAGAAACCUUAAACCUUAA